This 68-nucleotide transfer RNA is filed under the name Semidalis aleyrodiformis. RNAcentral describes it as "tRNA-Val". Lineage: Eukaryota; Metazoa; Arthropoda; Insecta; Neuroptera; Coniopterygidae. The record is from RNAcentral.
CAGAUUAUAUUUUAAAAAAAAUUUUUCUUUUACAUAGAAAAGAUAGAUGUUUAUUCAUUUUGAUUUGA